RNAcentral lists this long non-coding RNA (1162 nucleotides) under Strigops habroptila (Kakapo). RNAcentral's name for it is "lncRNA (ENSSHBG00005014979.1)". Lineage: Eukaryota; Metazoa; Chordata; Aves; Psittaciformes; Psittacidae. The record is from RNAcentral.
GGAUGAAGCCAGCACCAGAGAGAAGGGUGGAGGCACCGAGAGCAGCAGGUGAAGACCAGCCAGCCACCAGCUGAACCAGGGAAGCCCAGGUUUGCAAAUCCAGAGCCACUUGUGCUGGUGCAGCUCUGCUGCUGCUUUUUAUUCUCUUUUGUUUCCCCAGGCUAAACUGUGUUUUUCAACUUCCAUCACUAUGAAUGAAGACAUUCUGUUACAUUCGUUAGGACCUGAAUGGUUGGGUUUAAGCUGCUGUUACUGGGUGUCCUCAGACUUCUCUGCAUACAGAGACGUGACAGUCCCAUCCUUCCACUGCACCACGACUUCUCCUGAUUUCUGAUCCUGGGGCACCGGCUCCUCCUUCUGUGGUUCACUGGGGCUGUGCUCCUGCACAGAGACCAGGGCUUGCUUGGUUUCCAGCUCCGCCUGCUGCGUCUUCUGCACUGCUGCGCUGUACAUGUGUCUCUUCCUUUUCCUGCAGGGAAGGGACAGAAAGGAAACAUGGAGUGAAGCAGCAAGCCCAGCCCACAUCUGGGAUAGCUAUAAAUUAACCCAGCAGCAGGAAUGUCCGUUCGUCUCCGCUAACUCACCAGAAACACGCUGUUCCAGCAGAGAGGAAGCUACAUUUCUUCUUUAAGCCCUGCUGCCUGAAGAUGUCUUCUCCAAGCAGCCGUCAGUGCCUCACCACGGUGACAAGGUUGCCUUUCCUUCUACUCUUGGUACACUACGAGCUGUGAUUCAUUCUGCUCCUGAGUCAUGUCUGAAGGCCAGUCCAACAGUGAAUGGUCAUUCUAAGGCUCUCAGAGCAUCUCACAAGAGUGACUGACUUCACAGACAAAGCACCCGCUGGAGAUUUUGCCAUCCCUGUUUUGCAGGUACUGGCAACAGUUGGCUAAGUCAACAGGCUGCUAAGAGGCUUUGCAGUGCCACAAGGCUGAUGGGCUGGCUGGCUGUGCCAUCCACAUUGGGAAAGGAGGUUCCUCCUACCUGAACUAUUUGAUCUAUGGAUGGAGCUGCAUACUGCAGAGCAAGCUAGGUACCUCUCUGACAGGCUUGGAGCACACAGCUAGCACUGGUUAGCUAAGGUUAAUUGGAGACGAGCACUGUAUCCUUACAUUUGUCUUGUUCUUGGCUUCUUCCAGCUUGAAAUAAAGUGUCUUUGGCACUG